RNAcentral lists this unclassified non-coding RNA (219 nucleotides) under uncultured Actinomycetes bacterium. Its description in RNAcentral is "uncultured actinobacterium contains 16S-23S intergenic spacer region". Lineage: Bacteria; Bacillati; Actinomycetota; Actinomycetes. The record is from RNAcentral.
UCCGGUUUGGCACCGGCAGUCUCCCUAGAGUUCCCGGCAUCACCCGCUGGCAACUAAGGACAGGGGUUGCGCUCGUUGCGCCACUUAAGGCAACACCUCACGGCACGAGCUGACGACAGCCAUGCACCACCUGUGCAGGCUCCGAAGAGCACCCGCUUUCACGGGUUUCACCCUGCAUGUCAAGCCCAGGUAAGGUGGGGAUGACGUGUAACCGAAUCU